RNAcentral lists this ribosomal RNA (429 nucleotides) under Chloroflexota bacterium. RNAcentral's name for it is "Chloroflexi bacterium partial 16S ribosomal RNA". It matches the Rfam family "Bacterial small subunit ribosomal RNA", at positions 355 to 776 of the family's 1533-position model. Lineage: Bacteria; Bacillati; Chloroflexota. The record is from RNAcentral.
UGGGGAAUAUUGCACAAUGGGCGCAAGCCUGAUGCAGCCAUGCCGCGUGUGUGAAGAAGGCCUUCGGGUUGUAAAGCACUUUCAGCGGGGAGGAAUGCGAUAAGGUUAAUAACCUUGUCGAUUGACGUUACCCGCAGAAGAAGCACCGGCUAACUCCGUGCCAGCAGCCGCGGUAAUACGGAGGGUGCAAGCGUUAAUCGGAAUUACUGGGCGUAAAGCGCACGCAGGCGGUUGAUUGAGUCAGAUGUGAAAUCCCCGGGCUUAACCCGAGAAUUGCAUCUGAUACUGGUCAGCUAGAGUCUUGUAGAGGGGGGUAGAAUUCCAUGUGUAGCGGUGAAAUGCGUAGAGAUGUGGAGGAAUACCGGUGGCGAAGGCGGCCCACUGGACAAAGACUGACGAUCAGGUGCGAAAGCGUGGGGAGCAAACAGG